RNAcentral lists this ribosomal RNA (1354 nucleotides) under metagenome. RNAcentral describes it as "bacterial SSU rRNA". It matches the Rfam family "Bacterial small subunit ribosomal RNA", at positions 11 to 1371 of the family's 1533-position model. The record is from RNAcentral.
GUUUGAUCCUGGCUCAGAACGAGCGCUGGCGGCGUGGCUAAGACAUGCAAGUCGUACGGACCGGCCAAUUGAGUAAUCGAGAGGCCGGUUAGUGGCGAAAGGAUGAGUAAUGCAUAAACAACGUACCCCGGACACCAGGAUAGCUGCGGACUUCGGUCCUUUGCGAAAGUGCAGGUAAUACUGGAUAAUGUCUUCGAAUGGUAUCUUUUGAUGACCAAACGGUUUCGGCCGGUCUGGGAGCGGUUUAUGUCGUAUCAGCUUGUUGGUGAGGUAACGGCUCACCAAGGCAGCGACGCGUAGCGGGACUGAGACACUGCCCGGACCUCCACGGAGGGCUGCAGUAACGGAUAUUGCGCAAUGGGCGAAAGCCUGACGCAGCGACGCCGCGUGUAGGAUGAAGCCCCUCGGGGUGUAAACUACUGUCAGGGAAAAGAAAGGCUUCGGCUUGAUCUAUCCCAAAGGAAGGCCCGGCUAACUUCGUGCCAGCAGCCGCGGUAAUACGAAGGGGCCAAGCGUUGUUCGGAAUCACUGGGCUUAAAGCGCAUGUAGGCGGACGGCUAAGUGUCUUGUGAAAUCCCUCGGCUCAACCGAGGAACUGCAGGGCAUACUGGUCGUCUUGAGACAGUAGGGGUGCAUGGAACUCUGGGUGGAGCGGUGAAAUGCGUAGAUAUCCAGAGGAACGCCUGCGGAGAAAUCGGUGCACUGGGCUUGUACUGACGCUGAGAUGCGAAAGCGUGGGGAGCGAACAGGAUUAGAUACCCUGGUAGUCCACGCCGUAAACGAUGUCUACUAGGUCGCGGGUGCUCUGACGCGGUCGCGGCCGAAGCAAAAGUGUUAAGUAGACCGCCUGGGGAGUACGGUCGCAAGGCUAAAACUCAAAGGAAUUGACGGGGGCUCACACAAGCGGUGGAGCAUGUGGCUUAAUUCGAAUCAACGCGAAGAACCUUAUCCUGGGUUUGACAUGUAUGGAUGCUCUUGGUGAAAGCCAAGUAGGCUGCCUUCGGGUGAAACUUACACAGGUGCUGCAUGGCUGUCGUCAGCUCGUGUCGUGAGAUGUUGGGUUAAGUCCCGUAACGAGCGAAACCCUUGUCGUUAGUUACCAGCGAGUAAUGUCGGGGACUCUAACGAGACUGCCGGUGUUAAACCGGAGGAAGGUGGGGAUGACGUCAAGUCCUCAUGGCCUUUAUGCCCAGGGCUGCACACGUGCUACAAUGGUCCGGACAAACCGACGCAAAACCGCGAGGUCGAGCAAAUCGGAAAAACCGGGCCUCAGUUCGGAUUGCAGGCUGCAACUCGCCUGCAUGAAGUCGGAAUCGCUAGUAAUCGCAGAUCAGCUAUGCUGCGGUGAAUAAGU